RNAcentral lists this ribosomal RNA (253 nucleotides) under uncultured bacterium. Its description in RNAcentral is "partial 16S ribosomal RNA". It matches the Rfam family "Bacterial small subunit ribosomal RNA", at positions 524 to 776 of the family's 1533-position model. The record is from RNAcentral.
UACGUAGGGGGCAAGCGUUGUCCGGAAUCAUUGGGCGUAAAGCGCGUGUAGGCGGCCCGAUAAGUCCGCUGUGAAAGUCCAGGGCUCAACCCUGGAAAGCCGGUGGAUACUGUCGGGCUAGAGUCCGGAAGAGGCGAGUGGAAUUCCUGGUGUAGCGGUGAAAUGCGCAGAUAUCAGGAGGAACACCAAUUGCGAAGGCAGCUCGCUGGGACGGUACUGACGCUGAGGCGCGAAAGCGUGGGGAGCGAACAGG